UCGCUGAGCUAACAUCUGUUCCCAUCUUCUCCAUUUUAUGUGGGACGCUGAUACAGCAUGGCUUGAGGAGUGGCACUAGGUGCAUGCCCAGAUCCUAAUCAGUGAAACCCCGGGCUGCUGAAGCAGAGCGUGUGAACUUAACCACUGCGCUACCGGCUGGCUCCUAGUGACCUAAAUUUUUUGAUCAUAAAAUAAACUGCAGUGUAUUUUAUUUACAAAUGAACAUUUCUUUAAUGUCUGCUGCCUCUAACUUCCUGGAUCCUUGGGUCCAGAACUAGCUGUGGAGAAAGGGUCCUGAUUUAUCUUACAUUCCAACCCUCUCGCACAAGAGGGGCCCAGGCAAGGGGGCUGACCAUUUUCAAAGCAGGUCACAUUCCACGUCUAAUUCGAAGGCAUUAUUUUCAUCAUCUCAUUGUACAGAUGUGGAAAGUGAGGCUCAUAACUUACGAGGUUUUCUGAAGCAGCCCCAGGACAGAACACUGAUGCUGGAAUGUGGACCCGGACCCUCCACUCCACAGCAUCCCUCUGGCUCUGUGCCCUCUGCAGAUCCUAUUUGCAGGUCACGUUCCAGUGUCUGCCUGGAGCGCCUGUGAAAUGCAGCUCACCUCCUGCGUGGCGAGGAGGCAUCUAUCUUGUUUCUUUGGUGUCUUUCCCAUUGGGAUGAGAGCGGAGAUAUGCAUUCAUCAGGGGCUCCUGAGACCACUGCUUGGGAUUCGGCUCCUACUGACCAAGAGCCUUGGGGUUCACACUUACAUGUGGAUCCACCCUUGGCAGUGAGGGGCUGAGAAAUGAAACUGUGAUGUUCGUAAGUUUGAGAUGCUGUCAUUCACAUGGUUGUGUAAAUCAAGCCUUUUACUGGCCUCUAAGAGCAGUCAGCUACCAAGGACGUGAACCUAUCGGGAGAAAAUUCACAGAAUGGUAAUAGUCACCGUUUACCAAAUGCCCAUUACACGUCGGACUCCAGCCUAGGUAUUUGUAUAUGGUGCUGACACAAUCUCUACACAAGAUGCAGAGAUGCAGGUGUGGACACGUGAGUCUCACAGACGUGGAAUUCAAGGGUCAAGAUGGGUAAGUCUUUAGUCUGCGACCACAGAGCUGGUAAGUGGAAAACUCGGGGUUCAGACCAUCCCGUCUGAGUCCAGAAGCCAGGCCUUCCAUCUACAAUCUUGCCACUCAGCAUGCGGUCCUCGAACCAGCAGCAUCAGCAUCGCCUGGGACCUUGUUAGUGAUGCGGGAUCCCAGGCUCCAUCCUAGACCAGCUAAGCAGCAUGUGCCUUUGAACACGGUCCCCAGUGAUGUCUGUUCACGUUGAAUUUCAAGGCACUGCUCUGGGCUUCACAACCUGGGCUCCAUCCUUCUGGGACCUUGCGGAUGGAAUUCUGGUCGCCGUGGUCCAGUCAAGCAUGCACAGGACAGGGCCUCGUGGAACAUUUCCUUCCUCCUGUAUGUGGAGAAUCAUUCCACUGUAGCCCCAUACCUUAUGUCCAGGUACUAAGUCUGUAAAAGGGAGGGCGGCCAGGCCUGUGAUGCUCGGUUGGGUCUGCAGCACCUGCCGCGGCAGCCUCUCCAGCAGAGGAAGGAGAGGUAGGGAGCUCAGACCCUGGCAGAACGGAGGGUGCGACGUGUGGGGUAAAUUAUGCUCUGGUGGAAAAGCUUGCUGCCUGCUUGGCCCGGGGGACCUGGCUCUGAGCGUGUGGCACAGACGAGAGGGGCAUUUGUCAAUGUGUGUUUUGGAGUAAGUGCUGGGACCAGCUUCCCAGAAAAGCCCAGGCAGCCUUGUGCAGGGGGACGGGUGGGGCCGGGCUCUAGUUCUGCCCUUGCCUUGAGCUAACUCAGUGUGACCUGGGGACUGGGUUCCUUUGCUCGGCCUUAUUCCUCCUGGCUCUCUGAGGAAUGAGGUACGAAGAUCACCUGGAAAGUCUUGUCAAACCGUAACGUUCUGUGAAGUCAUAAUUAAAAUGCCCUGGGAGAACACUCUAUUUAAAAGAAUUUUUUGUUAAAUCAAACUGUGCAAAGCUAAUUAUCACUCUUUAAUUCAUCUAUUUUAUAAAUUUCACUUCUUUAUCCCUUUCUUUUUAGGUACAAAAGGGAAUGUUUAAAGUAUGAAAAGAAAUGACAACCAAACACAAAUUUGAAUAAGCUGCCCAAUACCACAAGCAUCCUCAAACCUGGAAAGAUGGCACAUCUACUCAGUAACUACCCUGCACACCUCUGUAGUACCUUCAUCUGCCUACUUUUGUUGGCUUCAUACUCUUUGAUCAUCUCUGCAUAUAACCGUCAUUUCAGAAUAUUUUCCAUUCAAAGGAUUAAAAAGAUAAGCUAUUGUUUCCUCUAACAGAGUUGAUCAAAAUUUAUGUUUUAUUCGUGAUAUUUGGGAUGUGUAAACCAUAUGACUUCAGACACAGACUCAUGUUUUCUAGUAUUGUACAGGAUUGCGCUUUUCAAACAGGAAAUCUGAAAAAGUCGUAUUUCGCCCAAUUGCCAUCCACACAGCAAAUACAUGGUGCAUUUAUAGCUUUACACACUGCAUUCUUGAGUAUGUUCUUGAGAGGAGAGAACUUCCUUUUUGGCUAAAUGUCGGUGAGAAUUCCGGCUUCCGCCAUCAACUGUAGACGUCUGAUGAUUUGAAGACUUUUUCAUAAUUGACUUCUGGCUCAGCACAUUUUAAACCCUUUGUCCUCCAUUCUCCAUUUGCUCCUGGUGUCAGGUGCAGUAGGAUGUGUUCCCCGGGUGACAGAACCUGUGGUUCAUGCAUUCACCUGAGGAUGUCCAAUGAGUCAGCAUGUAGCUGAGAUUCCAUCUCUGCUGGAGGAUUUUCGCCUGAGGGGGCAUGCCGGCCAUUGGCUACGGCUGAGCAAGGCUCUCCUCUUCCCCAGGAGAGGUUUCAGUGAGGACAGGACCACUGGAAACACUUCUUCACUCCUUUGAUUUUUCUUCACCUCUUCUGAGCUGGCUCACACCUCAGCGUCAUUUCCCUCCUCUCUGAUGUGUCCUUUCUUUUCAUUAGUUAUUUUUCUCACCACAUUCCCGAAGUCUGGAACUAUGAAUGGGCUUAGGAUGGGAAUAAUUGCAUCCUACUCUUCCCUCUCACUUCAAACCACACACUGAAGGAUGGGUACCUAAGGAAGCUGGUGUUGGGGUUAUUCUAUUUCUUCACCUAGAGAGUAUUUCUGUCACUUGUCCUGGCGAUUCUUUGUCCUUUUUCUUUUUUUAAUUAAACCUGAUAUGAGGAUUUAUGAGCCAAAUUCAGAAUAAGGGUAAGUCUAGAGGACAAAGGACCAGACUUCUUCAAAACGGAAACGGCUUUAAAAAAUAGGGGUGGGGAUGUGACUUUUAGAUGAAAAGAAACUUAAGAGACAGGUCAACCAAAUGCAACAUGUGGACGCUGGAUCUGGAUUUGAACAAAUGGCCUAUAAAAAGGACGUUUGGGAAACAUAGGUGGCGGGCAUUUGAACCUGGUCUGGAGAUCACUGAUACUAAGGAGUUUUUGUGAACUUGGCCAGGUGUGACGUGGUGAUGGUUGGGUUAGGGUUCAGCAGUUGGGCGUCCUUCUGCCACCCAUGUCCCCCAGCUGAAAGGGAUGCACGGGGACAGAGGAGGAAGAUGCAGAACUCCAGAGGGGAGGUGACCACAGCCUCAGUCAACGGCAGCGAAGGGUUAGGGGAAGGGACGAACCGCAGAACGGUUUUGUCUCGUCAUCUCUCUCACCGUCUCCUGCUCAAACAGUGGCUCCUUCUCUUGCCCUCGGCUUUCCUGACCCUGUUGCCUCUUCUUAGGAGCACUCCCUCGGCCUUCCCCUUGUCUACUUUCCAUCCUUCCUUUGGCCUGCCUCCUCCAGGAAGCCGUCUCUGCUGUAGCACACGCUGUUGUCCCCUUCUCCAAAAGCCCGUGGGCCAUCCUGAGUUUGCAGGCACUGGGUGCAGGUUAGCCCAUGGGCAGCGGCUCAUCUCCACAGCUGGAUGGGGGCUCUCUGAGGAAGCACUAGGGCUGGGUCUGUACGCGUGUUGCAUGUCUUACCCUGUGUGCUCAGAAAAGGUUUGCUGACUGAAAAGUACACCAGGCAAAGAUAAUUUAUCCCGGGACCUGCAUUUGCAUAGAGAUGGGACAGCCCCUGCAGUGCCUGAACCAGCUGGAGGUGUGUCUGGAGGCAGACAGAGCACCAGGGGGGAACCUGCAGACCUCCUGGAGGAUAAUAAAUGAUGUGGCUUUAUUUCAUCAUGUCCCACCCCAUCAUGGCCCUUCAGAGAUGCUCUCCUGAAUGACAAGGCAGGAAGGAUGCUGGUCUGCUCCACCGCAGUGGUCCUCACCCUGGUCACACAUUAGAAUCACCUGGGGGCGCUUAAAAGUCGGUCUUCACGCACCACCCUCCCCACCCCUUGCAGACUAAUUGAAACAAAAUCUCUAUGGGGUGGGAACCCAGGCAUCUUAGUUUAAAAAUAUCCAUCCAGAUGAUUCCAACAGCGGCUAAGGCUGAGCAGCACGGGGCCGUGGGAAUCUUUGCCCCACUGCAGAGCUGGGAUUUAGUUGUUUACAAAGCUGCCAUCCAUUCCCUGUUGGCUGUGCCAACAGAGACCAAGUCUACAGUUUCUUAUUUCUAUAAAAUAGUCAGUAGUAAGCAGGGGAAGGUUCUGAAAGCCAUAGGCUUCGGGGGAAAAUUGGGGUCUGGGCUUAGCGGCCAUGAGGAGACAUGCAGAGGGAUGGGGUAGAGGCCUCUUUGCAGGAGAAAAAGUGGCUGGGCCACCAUUUUGGAUGCUUUAACACUGGAAAGAGGCUGGAGUGUGGGGUGGGAGAAGAGGGGACAAGAGGGCGGGAGGAGGGGAGCCUGUGGGGGGGCAUCUACCCUUGGGGCUCGGAGUCAAGGAGCAGUCCAAAGACUCCGUGGCCUGGAGCCCUGGGUCCCACCUACCUCUUCCCUCCACCUUGGGGUUCAAGCGUCGCUCUGGCUGGGGGCCCUGACGAAGGCUCUGAACCAUGGCCAGCCUUGCCCAGAGGCUGUGACCUGGCAGGGCAGGUGUGGGUGGCUGACAGGUGCAGUAAAGGGAGGGAAGGACUCGCCUGCUCGGUGACCCUCUCUCAGGGCCUCUCCCUCCCAGCACUUGUCACCCUGUAAGAUGAGUUACUUAUGUGGCGCUCGAGGCAUGAAAGUGACCAUCUCCUGACUUUUCUCAAUAACACAAAGGCCGGCUCUGAGAUUCAGCUCAUGAGGAAGCCAGGUCCAGCCACUUCUGGGCUGUCCUUACAGAAACGCCAUGAGGCCGUCACGAUCCAUGGUGGCCACCCUGCCCUUUCCCUUGCUGAGUCACCAGCAUGUCCCUGCUUCACUGGGGAGGCCUCUGCGAUGAGGUCCUGGUUCCCAGCAGGGACAGACACCCAAACCGUCACCUCCUGCAGCUGAUCCCGAGGGGCUGGGGCCUCACUCCUCCAGUCCCCCACAUUCAACACCGCAAAGCACUCAGAUCAGCUGUUCUCAUCGGAUUCACCUGCAGAGAUUUAAAAACUACUGACCACCGGCUCUCACCUCAGAUUUCCCAGUUUAAUCACCUGGAUGUAGUCUGGGCAUGGGGACUUUCGAAAGUUCCAAGUGAUUCUAACCUGCAGCCAAGAUUGAAGCGACUGCCAGCCCAGUUCCUCUUCACUGGGCACAGACAACAGGCACCUCCCCAGCUACCUGCAGAGCAGGAGCAGUUAACGUCAACAUGGGACGCCAGCCUCCUGCCUGCCCAGAUGCUGUGUCUUUAAAAGCCUUGCUAGGCUGAGGACAGGGGCUGAAGGGCGGCCUGAAGUGGGCAGCGUGGUACCGCUUGCCCAGAGUUUUGAAAACAAAAGCUUCUUCCUGUCCUCACCCAGCAGGUAAAGGAAGACCCAGCCUUAUCUCUUUGGGGGAAUAAGACGCUUAUUUCUAAACCAGGUUGUAGCAACAUCCCUGAAAAAUUAUCCUGCUAUGCUGGUUUACUUGUCUCUACCCGCCCCAGAUGCCUGUUCCACGGGACCGGGGACCUCGUCUGUGCUUCUACUGCUGUCUCCCUACUUUCCAGGACAGAGCCUGGCCCUCAGCCCAUCGCUGUUGUGGGAACAGAGGAGCGUCCGAGUGGAUGGAUGGAUGGGUGGGUGGAUACACCAUGAGCAUAUGGAUGGAUGAACAAGGAUCACCGCCUCUCGGGAGGCUGCAGAAAACCAGCCUUGCACUCAGGGUUUAUGGCCCCUUUCAAAAGCCAGAAUCGGCAAGGGGCAUCUGAAAGCAGAGCGGCCAAUAAAUUCAAUUUCUAAAAAGGCCAGAACCUCAGAGCCCCAGGAAGUUGUAUUAUAGCAAUUCACGUGGUUGCAAUUUAAGAUUUUAUAGGAGCAGCCACCGCGUCAGCCUCUCUGUCUUGUGACAAGCAGACCCCAUGACUGAGGAGCAGAAAGAAAGUGUGUUCCUCAGAAAGCCGUCGACCGCGAAGAGUGACCUUUCAGAUACAAUUUACAGGAGAAGAAAAAAAAUGCUGCAAUGAAAAGAAGAUUUUUGUCUUGCAUUCUUUCCCAGCUACCUUUGUUCCUGGAGGAAGCAUCUUUGAGCCAUCGUUGUGAAGGCCUUCUCUCUGCAGCUGUCCGGAAGGCAGCUCCCCAGGGCAGGGACGCCUCUGAGCGGGUGGGAGAUGGGAGGAUGGGAGGUGGCCGCUGUCAGCUCCUGUCCUGACCUGGCUUCAUUCGAGCUGUGCCUGAUGGGCGCGCAGGUCUGGAAGCCGCUCGCCUCUCUUCGUGGUGAGCGAAUGGAAGCAUCCGGGUCCUGCAGCAUGGUCCACCAUCUGCCGGGGACGCUGUGUCCAGGCCUGUCUGCAGGGCCACGUCUUGGGUGGCUGGCACGUUCUCUUGCUUGCCCCAUGGAAGCUUUUGGAACCUGAUGUUGGUCCUGUAGGACAGAGGGGUGAAGAGUUCAGUAAGAACUCCUGGGUGGGCAGUCUGUUACACACCCUGGUUGGCUCUCACCUCUGACCCCUGACCCUUGUGCAGGCAGAGAGCUCACAGAACCUAGUUUUUAGCCGUUUUCAUAAACCAUAAGCCCAUCCCUGGAGGGCGUGAGGGCUCUGCUCCUGUUUGAGGUGGCGAGUGCAUGAUACGAUGGUUGAGACGUGCCCAACACUGAACCUCUCUGGGAGGGGCAGUCAACUCUCCAUCCUCAGCACACACAGUGCCGGAUGCUGGCACCAUGAAGGACCUGGCAAACCCACGAAGGGUGUGCCAUUUGAGGCUGUGAACUUGCCUCGUUGGAGUCCUGCUCCGUGCCAGGCUCUGUGAGUGACACAUCUUAUUUUCUUUAACCCUCACAGCAGCCCUGCGAAUGAGGUGAUGUCCAUCUCACAGAAGAGGAAACUGAGGCCCUGCGUCACACAGCUGGCAGGUGAAAGAGCCGUGUGUUUGAGGCAAAGCCCAGUGACUGGCACCAGUAGAAAAGGUGGAGGAGGAGCCUGUGGUGGGGCACCGGCCUUGCCAGGCAGCAUCCAGGAGAACAAGUGCCCUAGGAAUCUGAGACUCGCCAUGGAUGCCAAGAACAGGACAGGAAACUGAGACCCAGAGAGGUGGAGCAAAAAUGCCCGAAAUUACGUAGUUGGUUAAGAGCAGAAUGGGGACUCGCACGUGCUUUCUGCUCUACGGUGCCACCUUCUCAAAGGAGGAAAUUUACCUGCCAGCCUUGCCCACAGGCCCAGACGGAGGAGUUCAACUUCUUCCCAGAGCUGGGGAGGAGCUCCAAGUGAUUACGCUGUGAAAUUGACCUGGCAGCUCAGCGUUGAGAUUGAAGCUAAUUAAUUUUGCCUGACUUGAUGGAAUCCUCUUCAUUCUCAAUCCUCUCUCUGCUCUUGGACAAAAGAUGAGUGAGGGGGAUGUGGAGGGAAAUGUAACUGGCAAAGUAGCUUCUCUGUGUGGCCACCUGGCGUUUCCCGUGUAGCCCACACUGGGUUUUCAAGCACAGACAUUCUCUUCUCAGGGGGUCUGGGUGGAAAGAAAGCUGGAGGCUUGUAGGGGAUUUCAUCUGUUUCCAGCAGGACUGCAGAGGAAUUGAAAAUAAGGAGUGUGGAGGAAGAAGCAGAGGGGGAUUUACGAGUCCAGCUGUGCAGACUUUUGGAGAAAUUCAGAGAAGUUUUUAAAGCUGGAAAUGUUCUCAGAAGUCGUCUAUUCCAUUCUAGCCCUCCCUUAUAAAAUUGUGGCAAUCUUUGAGUCAGUUUGGACUGAAGUCUGGGAACUUGACCUGAGAGGAGAAAGCUCGGGCAAGGACCCAUGGGGCCGUUGUCCUGUGCUUGGUCAAGUCCACGGAUUGAGGGUGACAUCUGAGAAUGAUCUGUGGCUACAGCGGUGGGGAACAGCGUCUGAUCCAGGUGGGCCAUUAACAUCUGACUCAACCACGAGUAACCAUAUCUCGAUGCUCUUGUUGGCGGGGGGCCCCCUAUUAGGCCAAUGUUGGGGCUCCUGCCUGGGCUGCUGUGCCUCCCUAGGUCUCAAGCUUAGGGAGCAGAGCAGCAAGGCUCCCUCCAUCUGUGACUACAUGUCCCCAAGGCAUGCCAAGGCUCCUUUUGGGAAGGCUUGGAGAAUAUUUUGCCCAUCAAAACCAUGGCCGUUCCCAAGCCUGAGCCAUUUCUCAGAAUAGGGUUCCACCAGAAAUUCUGUUCUGUCGCCCGGGUAAGUGAAAGGAAGUGGGAUUCCCAUGUGUCUCCAUUCUUGCUGCCCUGGUCACUGGGUUCUGUCUCCCCAGGAAGGCCUGAUCACCAAGGGCUGCGGUUUCAAGAUAAGGGGCUUGGAUUUAGAAGUGUUAGGCAACCCCCAAAGACUUUUUUUCUUCCAUUAGAUUCUUUUUCGUUUUUAAUUAAUUCUCUUUUUUUUCUGAGGAAGAUUAGC
Molecule: non-coding RNA, 8868 nt
Organism: Equus caballus (horse)
Lineage: Eukaryota; Metazoa; Chordata; Mammalia; Perissodactyla; Equidae
Source: RefSeq, a predicted model, not a curated record